UGUGGAAACCUCUCCCUAGAGGAGAAACCUGAAAGAAAAAGUCUAAAAAGCACAAUGUUGCUAACGGUGGGCUUGAGCUGUUACAAUUGAUAUUAGAGCUAGACGCCGGGCGGUGUGCUAGUGAGGAUGCUGGGCCCCGAAGAGGAGUGGAUUUUGAGAUACCACUUCGAUUGGAAAGAUGAACGAGUGUCAACGACUCUAGACCCUGAAGGGAGUGGAUUGUGAGAUCCCACAUCGAUUGGAGAGAUGAACGAGAGACAA
This is a long non-coding RNA of Cucurbita maxima (winter squash), 261 nucleotides long. RefSeq lists it as uncharacterized. The transcript has 3 exons. The record is from RefSeq and is a predicted model, not a curated record. NCBI's taxonomy places the organism in Eukaryota, Viridiplantae, Streptophyta, Magnoliopsida, Cucurbitales, Cucurbitaceae.